Molecule: non-coding RNA, 171 nt
Organism: Echinops telfairi (small Madagascar hedgehog)
Lineage: Eukaryota; Metazoa; Chordata; Mammalia; Afrosoricida; Tenrecidae
Source: Rfam
UUGAAGGCGUGGAGACUGAAGUCCUCUCUAUAUCCACAGAACAGGUAUGGCACAGGCAGCGGCAGUGCAGCUUGUCCACUGUCCCACCAUGUGCCUCAGUCCUCGUCUAGAGGGAACGUGCUUAGGGUAAGAGGGUUAUUCGGUCUCCAUGUUCUUCAAUCUGUGACUUCU